RNAcentral lists this long non-coding RNA (512 nucleotides) under Brassica napus (rape). Its description in RNAcentral is "long non-coding RNA (BNAP_LNC016268)". Lineage: Eukaryota; Viridiplantae; Streptophyta; Magnoliopsida; Brassicales; Brassicaceae. The record is from RNAcentral.
CAGCAUGUUUGCAUACUAUAUUCAAAAAUUCGAUAGCCAUACAAGAGUAUUUUUGAAUAUGUGAAAUGGGUUUUACACAAUGAGGAUCAAACAUUAUAAAUUUAUAACCAAGAAUUCUCGAAAUAUCUCCCUUUCAAAAAAGACCAAAAACUGAAGUAAGAAAAAGAAAACAGAAUCUUCAGCCUAAUCAAGCUUCCUUUUUUUUUUUUUUUGGAAAUCAAGCUUCCUUCUACUUAAAAUAUAACAACAGAAAAACAGAGGAGGAGAAGAACCCAUAUAAGAUCAUGACCACUAAAUAUCUUCAACUCCGUGGAAAAAGAUCGAUCAUGGGCGAGUGGGGUACACGCGUUUGCCGUCACCGGAAUGUUCAGAAAUUCGUUUACAAACGGAGCGACGGAGGAAAGAGAGAAUGGAUUUGAGGAUUUUGGUCUUCACCAACUCUCUCUUCUUGGGGAUCACAGUCCCUUGUUUCUUCUUGAACGGCUUCAACUCCUCGUGGCUCAUCUUGUUCG